AAUGAACGCUGGCGGCAGGCCUAACACAUGCAAGUCGAACGGGUCCUUCGGGACUAGUGGCGGACGGGUGAGUAACGCGUGGGAACGUGCCCCUUGGUACGGAAUAGCCCCGGGAAACCUGGGAGUAAUACCGUAUGUGGUCGAGAGACGAAAGAUUUAUCGCCAAGGGAUCGGCCCGCGUUGGAUUAGGUAGUUGGUGGGGUAAUGGCCUACCAAGCCGACGAUCCAUAGCUGGUCUGAGAGGAUGAUCAGCCACACUGGGACUGAGACACGGCCCAGACUCCUACGGGAGGCAGCAGUGGGGAAUAUUGGACAAUGGGCGAAAGCCUGAUCCAGCAAUGCCGCGUGAGUGAUGAAGGCCUUAGGGUUGUAAAGCUCUUUUACCAGGGAUGAUAAUGACAGUACCUGGAGAAGAAGCCCCGGCUAACUCCGUG
This 434-nucleotide ribosomal RNA is filed under the name uncultured bacterium. RNAcentral's name for it is "bacterial SSU rRNA". It matches the Rfam family "Bacterial small subunit ribosomal RNA", at positions 29 to 507 of the family's 1533-position model. The record is from RNAcentral.